RNAcentral lists this ribosomal RNA (118 nucleotides) under Lepisosteus oculatus (spotted gar). The record is from RNAcentral. Lineage: Eukaryota; Metazoa; Chordata; Actinopteri; Semionotiformes; Lepisosteidae.
UUUAGCUGUCAAAUCACCCUGCAACUCACAAAUGGCAGCCCACUGAAGCUAAGCAGGUGUGGGCCUGUGAGUACCUGGAUGGGAGACCUCCUGGGAAAAACGUAGGCUACUGCUGGAA